AAAACUAAAUUAAAUUACGCAAGUUAUAAAAAAAAGCCAAAAAGGAAAUUGUGAAAAUAUAUGGGGGUGAUUGGCACAAGGCUUUGAAAACUUCAAACCAUAUCUAAAGUUUUCAAAGUUGUUUUUUUUUGCCAAUUAGCCUUUUUGGACUGUAGAUUUUUUUUAAAGUUUUCAAAGCUCUUUUUUUUUCCUUCUUUAGGGGUGAUUGCACAAGGCUUUGAAGACUUCAAGACAUAGGCCUUGAAUGGUAAACGUUUCUUUGGUGGGAAAAAUUUAAAAAAGUCUGAACCACUUUUUUCAUCCAUUCAACAAAAGAUCAAAACAAAUAUGAAAAAGUACAGGAAACACAAGUGGUCCAAAUAUUUUGUUUUUAGUGAUAAAAGAGGGAGAAAUAUGGGAGGUACGUCUAUAGUAAAACUUCUUGAAAAGAGUAGUAUGCUAUCCAUAUUUGGCACACCUAUCUAAUAUAAUAAUAUAUAUUUAUUUUCUGUUUUAUUAUUAAAGACAUAUAUAUAUAUAUAUAUAUAUAUCAAUACAUGUAUCUCAAAUGAAAAACAAGUAUAAGAUCUCUCUCUUUUUUGAAACAUUGUCUAAAAGAAGUUCAGUUCAUCCUUACUUCGCACGAAUUUUCCAAACACCAAGUUGAAAGUAUUUUUUCCAAAAGUUCAAAUAUAAUUCUAUAUAUACAAUUUUUAGUUAGUUUUAUGUACAAAAAAUAUCUAAUAUAAAUUUUCAUCACUUUAAAUAAUUACUGUCAUUUAUAAUUUUUAGAUUUUGCUAACUUUAAUUAUAAAAAUAUUUAAGUAAGUUCCUAAUACGUAUAAUUUAUAAAUUGUUGUAAUAGAUUCAAUAAAAAUAAUGUGUAGACAUAUAAUUGUUCAAUAAAAUUACUCAUAUAGAUUUUGAAUAAUAUGAAUGUAAUAUUUGAUAAUUAGAAAAAAUGAAAUUAUGAUAUCUAUGUAUAUGAUACAAGUAACUAAAAUACGGUUAAAAUUGAAACAGUCAAAAUACAAUUGAUUAUUCAUUUAAUAAAAUAUAAUUCAAUUUACGGUUUUAUUUUUGUCAUACAGUUUUAAAAUAGUUCAUAGUAUGUCUAAUAUAAAAUAUUAUUUUUAAUAUUAUUGAUAUAUAGAUAUGACGUUCAAUCGCCGACAAAACACAAAUAAUAUCGGGGAAGCUGAUACACAUUUUUCUACGAAAACUUCAACACGGAUAAUGGCUACAAUGAGACUGCAUAAAUUUAUCUGAAUUUCAAAUUUUUCAGAUGAUGAUUUUGCAGAAGUAAUGGGAAAGACAGAGAGUACGGACACAAAUUCUGAGACUGAUCUAGGGAUAUGGAAGAUGCAGAAGUAAUUGAUAGCGAUCUUAUGACAAAUAUCAGAGAAAAUAUUGCAGAUAUACUAUGGGAAAAUAAAAAUAGUAGAUAUUAAUCUUUUUUGUUGUUGUAUUUUAAUUUUUUUUUAACAUUUUAAAAGUUAUCACGAUAAAUAUAUUUAUUGUAUUUGUAAAUA
RNAcentral lists this small RNA (1511 nucleotides) under Arabidopsis thaliana (thale cress). Its description in RNAcentral is "ATSL098240". The record is from RNAcentral. Lineage: Eukaryota; Viridiplantae; Streptophyta; Magnoliopsida; Brassicales; Brassicaceae.